UACAGGGGGUGCAAACGUUGCUCGGAAUCAUUGGGCGUAAAGCGCACGUAGGCGGUCUGUUAUGUCGGAUGUGAAAGCCCUUGGCUCAACUGAGGAAGUGCAUCCGAAACUGGCAGGCUAGAGUACGAAAGAGGAUCGCGGAAUUCCCGGUGUAGAGGUGAAAUUCGUAGAUAUCGGGAGGAACACCAGUGGCGAAGGCGGCCGCCUGGCCUGUAACUGACGCUGAGACGCGAAAGCGUGGGGAGCAAACAGG
Molecule: ribosomal RNA, 253 nt
Filed under: uncultured bacterium
Lineage: Bacteria
Description: partial 16S ribosomal RNA
Rfam family: Bacterial small subunit ribosomal RNA
Source: RNAcentral